UUAAUAGUAAAAUCUGCUCAAUGAAAAUUAAAUAGCCGCAAUUCGUGCUAAGGUAGCAUAAUCAUUUGUCUCUUAAAUGGAGACUAGAACAAAAGAUUUAACAUUUCAAUUUAUUUAUUUAACUUCUAAAUUAAAAUUAUUUUAAAUGUAAAAAAACAUUUCUAAAAAAGAAAGACGACAAGACCCUAUCGAACUUAACUUAAGUUAAACUGGGGCAGUUAAUUAAUUAUCAUUUUAAUUUAUAUAAUUACAACUAUAUCCAAUAUAAUUGAAUUAUCAAGUUACCGUAGGGAUAACAGCGCAAUUAUUUUUUAAAGUUCUUAUAUAAAAAAUAGUUUACGACCUCGAUGUUGAAUUAAUUACCUAUUUUAAGCAAAUUUUUAAAAAGGAAGUCUGUUCGACUUUUAAAUUAUUACAUGAUUUGAGUUCAGACCGGUGUAAGCCAGGUCGGUUUCUAUCUUCUACAAACAUUUCUUACAGUACGAAAGGACCUAAGAAUAUAAUUUAAUUAAUUAAUUGGCAGAAAAAUGCAUUAGAAUUAGAAUCUAAAUAAACUCAU
Molecule: ribosomal RNA, 559 nt
Filed under: Agobardus oviedo
Lineage: Eukaryota; Metazoa; Arthropoda; Arachnida; Araneae; Salticidae
Description: partial 16S ribosomal RNA
Rfam family: Bacterial large subunit ribosomal RNA (bases 169-463)
Source: RNAcentral